Molecule: ribosomal RNA, 550 nt
Filed under: uncultured bacterium
Lineage: Bacteria
Description: bacterial SSU rRNA
Rfam family: Bacterial small subunit ribosomal RNA
Source: RNAcentral
UAGGGAAUCUUCGGCAAUGGACGGAAGUCUGACCGAGCAACGCCGCGUGAGUGAAGAAGGUUUUCGGAUCGUAAAGCUCUGUUGUAAGAGAAGAACGAGUGUGAGAGUGGAAAGUUCACACUGUGACGGUAUCUUACCAGAAAGGGACGGCUAACUACGUGCCAGCAGCCGCGGUAAUACGUAGGUCCCGAGCGUUGUCCGGAUUUAUUGGGCGUAAAGCGAGCGCAGGCGGUUAGAUAAGUCUGAAGUUAAAGGCUGUGGCUUAACCAUAGUACGCUUUGGAAACUGUUUAACUUGAGUGCAAGAGGGGAGAGUGGAAUUCCAUGUGUAGCGGUGAAAUGCGUAGAUAUAUGGAGGAACACCGGUGGCGAAAGCGGCUCUCUGGCUUGUAACUGACGCUGAGGCUCGAAAGCGUGGGGAGCAAACAGGAUUAGAUACCCUGGUAGUCCACGCCGUAAACGAUGAGUGCUAGGCGUUAGACCCUUUCCGGGGUUUAGUGCCGCAGCUAACGCAUUAAGCACUCCGCCUGGGGAGUACGACCGCAAGGUUG